Molecule: ribosomal RNA, 467 nt
Filed under: uncultured bacterium
Lineage: Bacteria
Description: partial 16S ribosomal RNA
Rfam family: Bacterial small subunit ribosomal RNA
Source: RNAcentral
GACGAACGCUGGCGGCGUGCUUAACACAUGCAAGUCGAACGGAAAGGCCCUGCUUUUGUGGGGUGCUCGAGUGGCGAACGGGUGAGUAACACGUGAGUAACCUGCCCUUGACUUUGGGAUAACUUCAGGAAACUGGGGCUAAUACCGGAUAGGAGCUCCUGCUGCAUGGUGGGGGUUGGAAAGUUUCGGCGGUUGGGGAUGGACUCGCGGCUUAUCAGCUUGUUGGUGGGGUAAUGGCUUACCAAGGCUUUGACGGGUAGCCGGCCUGAGAGGGUGACCGGCCACAUGGGGACUGAGAUACGGCCCAGACUCCUACGGGAGGCAGCAGUGGGGAAUAUUGCACAAUGGGCGGAAGCCUGAUGCAGCAACGCCGCGUGCGGGAUGACGGCCUUCGGGUUGUAAACCGCUUUCGCCUGUGACGAAGCGUGAGUGACGGUAAUGGGUAAAGAAGCACCGGCUAACUACGU